This 446-nucleotide ribosomal RNA is filed under the name uncultured bacterium. RNAcentral describes it as "partial 16S ribosomal RNA". It matches the Rfam family "Bacterial small subunit ribosomal RNA", at positions 338 to 795 of the family's 1533-position model. The record is from RNAcentral.
CCUACGGGGGACAGCAGUCGAGAAUCAUUCACAAUGGGGGAAACCCUGAUGGUGCGACGCCGCGUGGGGGAAUGAAGGUCUUCGGAUUGUAAACCCCUGUCAUGUGGGAGCAAAUUAAAAAGAUAGUACCACAAGAGGAAGAGACGGCUAACUCUGUGCCAGCAGCCGCGGUAAUACAGAGGUCUCAAGCGUGGUUCGGAAUCACUGGGCGUAAAGGGUGCGUAGGCGGUUUCGUAAGUCGUGUGUGAAAGGCGCGGGCUCAACCCGCGGACGGCACAUGAUACUGCGAGACUAGAGUAAUGGAGGGGGAACCGGAAUUCUCGGUGUAGCAGUGAAAUGCGUAGAUAUCGGGAGGAACACUCGUGGCGAAGGCGGGUUCCUGGACAUUAACUGACGCUGAGGCACGAAGGCCAGGGGAGCGAAAGGGAUUAGAUACCCGUGUAGUC